RNAcentral lists this ribosomal RNA (301 nucleotides) under uncultured bacterium. Its description in RNAcentral is "partial 16S ribosomal RNA". It matches the Rfam family "Bacterial small subunit ribosomal RNA", at positions 509 to 807 of the family's 1533-position model. The record is from RNAcentral.
CAGUCGCCGCGGGAAUACGUAGGGUGCAAGCGUUAAUCGGAAUUACUGGGCGUAAAGCGUGCGCAGGCGGUUUGUUAAGACAGAUGUGAAAUCCCCGGGCUCAACCUGGGAACUGCAUUUGUGACUGGCAAGCUAGAGUGUGGCAGAGGGGGGUGGAAUUCCGCGUGUAGCAGUGAAAUGCGUAGAUAUGCGGAGGAACACCGAUGGCGAAGGCAGCCCCCUGGGCCAACACUGACGCUCAUGCACGAAAGCGUGGGGAGCAAACAGGAUUAGAUACCCGUGUAGUCCCUGUCUCUUAUAC